Molecule: RNA transcript, 4113 nt
Organism: Selaginella moellendorffii
Lineage: Eukaryota; Viridiplantae; Streptophyta; Lycopodiopsida; Selaginellales; Selaginellaceae
Gene name: probable inactive ATP-dependent zinc metalloprotease FTSHI 5, chloroplastic
Exons: 19
Source: RefSeq, a predicted model, not a curated record
AGGCAUGGCUGGGGUUUGAGCGACGGGGAUGCGCGAUGGGAGCCGUAUCGCUGCUCUUGCUGGCGUGCCCGACGAAUCCGAGCGCCCGGAGCAGGAUUCCUGCCCCGCAUUCGUCUCGCCGGGGUAAGAUUCUUGUCAGAGCGAAGGCAGGGAGCAAUGCAGGGCAUACUCUCGCGGUAGAGCGGCUUCGCAGCGCUCCCAGGCGACGGGCAGCCGAUUUUCCUGCGGAUUUGCCGUCCAUCGAGCGACGGGAUUCUAGCUGGCUUGGGAGCUUGGCGAAGAUUUUGGGGGUUGGAAUCGCUGUUGUCGCUCUGGCUGCCUUGGGAGCUCAUCGCCCGGCGUUUGCUGCUCCUGCUUUUGUGGGAGAGGAGGAAGAGCAGAAGAUCACAGCCGCGGAUUUACAUUCUAGAUUUGUGGAGUGGAAGGACGGGUUUCAUAGAGAGAUGGAGCAGAUGGGACCGAUGAGGAAGAGAUUGCUUGAGAUCUAUGGCUUGGACAAGAGGUUUGAGAAGUUCCGGCAGGGAAUCGAAGAGAGGGAAUUGAUGUACAGGGAAGUUCUUGGUGUCAAGGACAUGCUGAAAGAGAUUGAGGAACUGGCUGGGAAGUCCGAAGCCCGAAGCCUCGAGGUGGAAUUUAGAGUCCGCGAGGCUCUAGUGCAAGCCCGGCGAAAGUUGACGAUGGGAGCUCGAAGGUUGCAAGGAGAGGUUUUGCUAAAGACGAGCUCGCACCUGGCUAAGCUGAGGAAGGAAGAAGCGUCCCUGAUGAAGGAGCUCAACGAGGCUAUGGAUGGCUUUCCUGGUUUGAGAAAGAAGUUUGACGCUGCGGAAACGCAACCAGCAGAGGACGAUCUAGGUGGCUCAACGAAGGCCUUCUCUCCGAAGUCGGAAUCGGAUGACCAAGUCGAUGCUCAGGAAUCGCUAUUCUUUUCAAAGACCGAGGAGCUGAGAGCUAAAAUUGUGAACGUGAAAGCGGAGCUUGUGGGAUCCGAGUACGAGGGGUGGCUGAGGGCGUGGCACGAAAUACCAAACUUUACUGCCAUUUUUGCUGCGGAGCUCGAGGAGGCUGCCAAGUUCCGGCUGCCCGAACGUCUAGAGUCACGCAUAGCGAACGAUCUUAGAGCGUCAGGGAAAGAAAUAUGGGAGGAAAGUAUUUUGCCACUGGCUUUAGACAAACAGGAGAAAGGCGUAGUGCCAGUCGACAGUACCGUGAAAUCUGAGGUGGAUGAAUUGCUUCGAAGGCAUAUCGAGUUUGCUGGUUCCGAUGAAAGAAAAGCAGUGUCGGCUGUUGACGGAAAACUAGGAUCGAUCGAACUUUAUUCUGCUCUAGGGGGAAGCGUUUCAGACGUUCCGGGCCCUGAAGCCGUGAAGACAAUUUUGGGAUGGCGGAAGUGGUGCUCGAUCAAGAAAGAAGAAUUAAAGCAGCACUUGCUCGACCAUCCGGAGGCUGGCAAGAAAUAUAUUCAAGAGCAGCAGGAGAAAUUGCUUUUAGCGAGGGAUAGAGUUCUCCAGAACACUUGGUAUAAUGAGAAAUCUCGGCGGUGGGAGAUGUCAGACGCAGCGGCCAUGUAUGCUGUAGAGAAGAAUCUCGUCCAUCACGUAAGAAUUCGGCAUGACCUUCGUGUCAUCUUUGUGGGCCUCAAAGGUGACGAUCAAGAGUACGUUGUCAAUGUCGAGGAUCUGAACGAAAGGUUGGAAGACGUUGGUGGCUUCGACGCGUUUUAUGCCAUGUUAAAGGAGAACAAAAUCCCUACAGUGAUGGAAAAAAUGUGGAUACCUUUACGAGAGUGGUCCGCUUUCCAGUUGAUCAGGCUUCCUUUCGUCAUGCUGAUAGACGCUGUUUUGUACGUAUGGAACUUGGGCGUCGUUGCAGCAGCUAGAGACUUAUACUUUGAAAGCCUUGACGCUCUCUUGGGAGAACUGAUGGUGCGAUUCGGUUACCCGGCAAUUCUUAAGCUUCCUCGCCUGGUACGAGAAAUGAUUGGGUUUGAACUACCAAAGGGGUCAGAGUUUCUUGAACCGACAUUUCUUAUGAAAUGGCAGACGGCAGCCCAGGCUAAGUUUGAUGCUCGUCAGAUCGCGUUGCCGUUUUGGAUGGAUCUUCCACUUCGUAUCUACGUGGUUGGUGUUCCGCUCUUGUUUGUCGUAACACGGGUGGCAAAAGCUAUUUAUCGUUUUAUUGGACCUCCUCCACUGCCUAAGUCUCAGUAUGACAAAGCUGUGGAACUACAUAUGAAGGUCUACAAAGAGAUGACACCUCUUCUGAAGCAAGUAACUACAAAUCCUAUCAAGAGAGUGUUUGAUAAGAUGAAGAGAAUACGAAAGCCACCAGUCUCGCUAAACGAUUUUGUUGGUAUUGAGACUUUUAGAGAAGAGGUAGAUGAAGUCGUCAGCUUCCUGAGAGAUCCGGGAGCUUUCAAAAAAUUAGGUGCACGGGCUCCGCGGGGCGUUAUCAUUGUAGGAGAAACAGGAACCGGAAAGACGACACUGGCUCGAGCGAUCGCAUCCGAAGCGCGAGUUCCAGUCGUUGAGCUGCAAAGCUUUGACUUGCAAGGCGGAGGGGAAUGGGUCGGGCAAAAGGCUGCAAAUGUUCGUGAGCUUUUUAAGACGGCCCGACAGUUUGCACCUAUUAUCCUCUUCAUGGACGACUUUGACGACUUCGUUGGCAAGCGGGGAGAGACCAUGCAUUUAGACACACAGGAGCUGGAGACUCUGAUAAAUCAAAUGCUCGUUGAGCUUGAUGGGUUUGAAACACAGGAAGGCGUGGUUGUACUUGCUACAACUAGCCAUCCUGAGAGGAUAGAUGAAGCUCUGCGUAGACCGGGGCGAAUGGAUAGGACAAUUAAAUUGCUUCCGCCCAACAGAACUCAGCGUGAGCAAAUGCUUCGUCUGAUUGCUCGGAACACCAUGUUUCCCCAUGUGGUUGACUGGGUAAAUUGGGCAGAGGUAGCAGAGAAGACAGAAGGCCUUACUUAUGUUGACCUUGAGCCUAUUCCCGUUAAUUUGCAACAAUGCGCUACCCACUGGAAAACCAAAGACGAGGAAGAGCUUUUUAGUUAUCUGUGCAUAUUAGAUAAAUAUAACAAAAUAGUACCAGAAUGGAUUAGGAAGACACCUCUCCUCAAGAAAUGGGAUCAGAGCGUGAUUGAUUGGCUCGGCCUCCGUGUUACGAAGGAGGAUUUCGAAAUGACUGUUCGGUAUAUGGACGUGCGAGGCAGAUCAAAGCCAGGAAUCGAGUUCCACGAUCCUCUUUAUCCGUGGACGAGAGAAACGAAGUAUCCUCACGCGGUAUGGGCUGCUGCUCGAGGCUUGCUUGCGCGUUUGCUUCCCAACUUUGAUAUUGUCGAAUACAUAUGGCUAGACGAAACAUCGUGGGAGGGGAUUGCAUGGACGAGGCUAACAAGGAGAGUUGAAGAAGGAUAUCUGGAAACGCACACGCAGACCAGAAACUACCUUGAGAAAAAACUAGUUUUAUGCUAUGCCUCUCACGUAGCAUGCUGCAUGCUAAUGCCGGUCCUGGACAGGAACAACCUUGCAGAACCACAGCUUGAAGAGGCCAAGCAGAUUGCGGCGGACAUGGUCAUGGAGUAUGGAUGGGCUUUGGAUGACAGUCCGAUGGUGUACCGUAGCAAAGGGGAGGGCCCAAUGGAUAUGGGCUUGCAGGAGAUGACGGUGAUAGAGAGAAAGGUCACGAAGCUUCUCACUGUUGCUUGUGACCGAGCCAGCCAAAUUCUGGCACGAAACAAACAAGUGCUUGAAGCCUUGGUUGAGCAGCUAGUUGUGCAUGAAAACAUCACGCAGGAGUUCAUGGAGAAGACUCUCAAGGAGAAAGGAGCAACUUUCGAGGGGGAGCCAUUUACACUACAGGAUUUGGAUUCUUCCUUACAGGAACAGCCUACAAAUGGCACAGGGAGGUUAAUGGGAGCUUUAGUGAAUUGAGUGAGACAAACCAAAAAUCUGAUAUGUUCUUAAUGGUUUAGUCUACAGAUGGAAAGCUUCUUGACAUGGGGAGGAUAGGGUUUAUAGAAAAUGGUGUGAUGUGGAGAUAUGCACAUAUUCCCUAGGAGUUUUAUGAGAGGAGAAUUUAUGCUAAAGGAGAAUAAGGAUUUGGAGGAAA